RNAcentral lists this ribosomal RNA (253 nucleotides) under uncultured bacterium. Its description in RNAcentral is "partial 16S ribosomal RNA". It matches the Rfam family "Bacterial small subunit ribosomal RNA", at positions 524 to 776 of the family's 1533-position model. The record is from RNAcentral.
UACGAAGGGGGCUAGCGUUGUUCGGAAUUACUGGGCGUAAAGCGCGCGCAGGCGGUCCUUUAAGUCGGGGGUGAAAGCCCAGAGCUCAACUCUGGAACUGCCUUCGAAACUAGAGGACUUGGGUACGGGAGAGGUGAGUGGAAUUCCGAGUGUAGAGGUGAAAUUCGUAGAUAUUCGGAAGAACACCAGUGGCGAAGGCGGCUCACUGGCCCGUUACCGACGCCCAGGCGCGACAGCGUGGGGAGCAAACAGG